GUAACUGGCACCUCCAGAGGGGCAGGGGUUCUGGUCCACCAGUGGUGGGAAGGCACCAUCUUAGACGCUGGAUAUUGCUUCAGAUAAGAGCCAUGGUGUUCCUGAACCUGAACAUCAAGGUCAUGGCUUUGUGAACAUAACCCAGGCAGAGUUAUGAGUCUCAUAAGCAAUGUUUGCAUGAAGACAGAGAAGAGAUGGCUCCAGCAGAAGGUAGCCACGUGACAGAAGCACCGCAUCACUCCCAGUGAACAAGGAGAACAAGGAGACCGGGCACCUGCCAUGCCAGGCCCCAUCACAGAUGCCCUCCACCCCAUGGCACA
This is a long non-coding RNA of Talpa occidentalis (Iberian mole), 320 nucleotides long. RefSeq lists it as uncharacterized. Lineage: Eukaryota; Metazoa; Chordata; Mammalia; Eulipotyphla; Talpidae. The record is from RefSeq and is a predicted model, not a curated record. The transcript has 3 exons.